UCCAGCAGCCAACUCACAACUGGCAGCCCACUGAAGCUCAGCAGGUGUGAGCCUGGUCAGUACCUGGAUGGGAGACCUCCUGGGAAAAACUAAGGUUGCUGCUGGAU
This 107-nucleotide ribosomal RNA is filed under the name Lepisosteus oculatus (spotted gar). Lineage: Eukaryota; Metazoa; Chordata; Actinopteri; Semionotiformes; Lepisosteidae. The record is from RNAcentral.